This 393-nucleotide ribosomal RNA is filed under the name uncultured bacterium. RNAcentral describes it as "partial 16S ribosomal RNA". It matches the Rfam family "Bacterial small subunit ribosomal RNA", at positions 523 to 918 of the family's 1533-position model. The record is from RNAcentral.
AUACGGAGGAUGCAAGCGUUAUCCGGAUUUAUUGGGUUUAAAGGGUGCGUAGGCGGUUUGCUAAGCGGGAGGUGAAAUGCCGGCGCUCAACGUCGGAAGUGCCUUCCGAACUGGGGGACUGGAAUGACUCUGCCGGGGGAGGAAUGUGUAGUGGAGCGGUGAAAUGCUUAGAGAUUACACAGAACACCGAUUGCGAAGGCAUCUCACGAAGGGUUGAUUGACGCUGAGGCACGAAAGCGUGGGGAUCAAACAGGAUUAGAUACCCUGGUAGUCCACGCAGUAAACGACGAUGGCUAACCGCUGGUUUAUUCGGAUCAGUGGCCAAGCGAAAGCGAUAAGCCAUCCACCUGGGGAGUACGACCGCAAGGUUGAAACUCAAAGGAAUUGACGGGG